This 429-nucleotide ribosomal RNA is filed under the name uncultured bacterium. RNAcentral's name for it is "bacterial SSU rRNA". It matches the Rfam family "Bacterial small subunit ribosomal RNA", at positions 355 to 775 of the family's 1533-position model. The record is from RNAcentral.
UGAGGAAUCUUGCGCAAUGGGGGAAACCCUGACGCAGCAACGCCGCGUGAGUGAGGAAGGCCUUCGGGUCGUAAAGCUCUGUCAGAUGGGAAGAAAUGGGUGGGGGUGAAUAUCGUCCACCCUUGACGGUACCAUCAGAGGAAGCACCGGCUAACUCCGUGCCAGCAGCCGCGGUAAUACGGGGGGUGCAAGCGUUGUUCGGAAUCAUUGGGCGUAAAGCGCGCGCAGGCGGCUUGGUAAGUCAGAUGUGAAAGCCCUGGGCUUAACUCAGGAAGUGCAUUUGAUACUGCCUCGCUAGAGUACGGGAGAGGAAAGUGGAAUUCCUGGUGUAGAGGUGAAAUUCGUAGAUAUCAGGAGGAACACCGGUGGCGAAGGCGACUUUCUGGCCCGAUACUGACGCUCAGGCGCGAAAGCGUGGGGAGCAAACAG